GAGGGUAUAGCUUAAGUGUAGAGCGCAUGCUUAGCAUGCACAAGGCCCUGGGUUCAAUCCCCAGUACUUUCU
This 72-nucleotide transfer RNA is filed under the name Camelus bactrianus (Bactrian camel). It matches the Rfam family "tRNA". From Rfam's summary of the family: Transfer RNA (tRNA) molecules are approximately 80 nucleotides in length. Lineage: Eukaryota; Metazoa; Chordata; Mammalia; Artiodactyla; Camelidae. The record is from Rfam by way of RNAcentral. RNAcentral also lists the same sequence under 2 other names.